RNAcentral lists this ribosomal RNA (264 nucleotides) under uncultured archaeon. Its description in RNAcentral is "partial 16S ribosomal RNA". It matches the Rfam family "Archaeal small subunit ribosomal RNA", at positions 748 to 1009 of the family's 1478-position model. The record is from RNAcentral.
CAGCCCUAAACGAUGCGCGUUAGGUGUAUCGGUGACCACGAGUCACCGAGGUGCCGAAGGGAAACCGUGAAACGUGCCGCCUGGGAAGUACGGUCGCAAGGCUGAAACUUAAAGGAAUUGGCGGGGGGAGCACCACAACCGGGUGGAGCCUGCGGUUUAAUUGGAUUCAACGCCGGAAAUCUUACCGGGACCGACAGCAACAUGAAGGCCAGGCUGAAGACUUUGCCGGAUUAGCUGAGAGGUGGUGCAUGGGCGUAGUCGUGU